UACGGAGGGUGCAAACGUUGCUCGGAAUCAUUGGGCGUAAAGCGAGCGUAGGCGGUCUUAUAAGUCGGAUGUGAAGGCCCUCGGCUCAACCGAGGAAGUGCACCCGAAACUGCAAGACUUGAGUGUCGGAGAGGGUGACGGAAUUCCCGGUGUAGAGGUGAAAUUCGUAGAUAUCGGGAGGAACAUCAGUGGCGAAGGCGGUCACCUGGACGAUAACUGACGCUGAGGCUCGAAAGCGUGGGGAGCAAACAGG
Molecule: ribosomal RNA, 253 nt
Filed under: uncultured bacterium
Lineage: Bacteria
Description: partial 16S ribosomal RNA
Rfam family: Bacterial small subunit ribosomal RNA
Source: RNAcentral